UGGCUGCUUUUCAGGCUGCUCUUUCCCGCCUCUGCCUUUAGCCAGCAUUUGCAGAGCAGCGGCUUCCCCGGAGCUGUGUGUUUUCUGCUGUGGGCAGGGAUGUCCCUUGCCAUGCACGGACACUGGGACUAUGACCUGCGGCUCCCUGCCUGCCCUGCCACGUCAGGAUGUCCCACUCCAUCUGAGGGAGCAAUAAGCAACCGAGAGAAGCUUUUCUACUAAAACCAGAAGCUCCUAAAAAAUCCCCAAGUGAGGAUUCACCCAAGAAAUGUCUGCAAAGUGAUGAGCGUUCACCCCAAGACGCCUUUCGAGAAGAAUUCAACAGUGGCCCUGGUCAAGCGUCAUUUUUAAUUCUUCAUUCGAGGGACAGGCUGUCUUCUUCUUGUAGAGGACACAAGGCUAAGAAACUCGUACAAGUCGCUAUCUCGAGAACCAGCCCCCGUCCGCCCCGGACAGGACAGGCAACAAUUACUCACGAACACGGUUUAAUGCUCAAAGUCCUUCUUUCUGUGAAGGGAGGCUUAGGAAGAGACGUUAAAGUUCAUCAAGUAUGCAAAAGUGUAGGGAGAUGCUCCUUGAAAUUUACUUAUCCGAAGGAACCAGCCUCCAGGAAAAAAUCGCUUUCCUGCCUUCUGAAAGUAGUAAAGUUUUGAAAAUUAUAUUCACAUAGAAACUGUUUCAAAAUAAGUUUACCACUCCGGGGUCGCGCUCCCCUCCCUCCUAAUUGCCUUUUUUUCCCCCUUCCAAGUCUGUAUUUUGUUCCUUCAGGUUGCGCCAACUAUUUAUUUAUCUUUAUUCUUUCUCUCUUUCUUUUCAUUCAUUAUUCUCUCUCCCUCUCAUUUUUUUUUUCUUCCUUGUGUGUGUGGCUUCUCGGUCUGAUCUGUAGCUUGUUACCACCCACUGCACGCUCUCUCCUGCAGCCGAGGUGUUUCUAUACAAACUUCAGCGUCCAGUUGUCAUAUUAAUUAUUACACUGAGUAAUGACUGAAAUAGUCAAAAUAAGGGGAGACUCAAGAGAGCUUUUUCUUGCUGCUCAAAGAUUCAGCAAAGAAGCCUUGCAACAAAGCACUAAUUGGUCCCCAGAAAUACUCUGACAAGGCAUGGAAGAUAGGUUUCAUAAAGCCCAGCAAUUGUGAAGGGGGAAAAGAUCCUUGAAUAGACCCCACGCUUCUUUUCUAAACUCUCUUGCUGAGCAAAAAAUGGACUGCUUCUUGAAUACUGGACUGAUCUUGAAUGCUAUACCCAGCAGAGAAAAAAAUGCACCAUUUAUUGUAAGUUUUUUUUCCAGCUAUUCAUGUGUUCUAUGUGGAGAAUAAGCUGGUUUUGUUUACCAUGAAAGACCUUUUACUUUAUUUUCACUCUUGGGGGGGAAGCUGGAAAGGGGAGGGGGAGGGCAAAGGGAGGGAGAGAAACACAUGUGCCCAAAUCCAGACGAGCUGCCUACUGUAACAAAAUGGAGUGUAACAAAUCCUACAGAAGUCCCGAAUGUAUCGAUUCUUUGAAGAUCUAUAUAGAUUAACGACUUUCGUUCUGCUUUUCCAAGACGGCAUUUAAUCAUAACGUAAAUGGCCUUUAAAAAAGAAAAGGGGUGGAAAAAAAAAAGCAUACCAAAGUUAAAAAAAAAAAAAAAGAAAAAGAAAAAGAAAAAGAAAA
RNAcentral lists this long non-coding RNA (1653 nucleotides) under Calidris pugnax (ruff). RNAcentral's name for it is "lncRNA (ENSCPUG00000006528.1)". The record is from RNAcentral. Lineage: Eukaryota; Metazoa; Chordata; Aves; Charadriiformes; Scolopacidae.